GAGAAUUUUUUCCUACAUACUUAUUGAUAUAUAGAUGGAAAGAUGUUGCUGGGAAGUCUCUGCAAAAGAUUCAAACCAUCAGGUUUUGGGGAAAGCACAACGAGACUUCACCAGUCACUCUGGGAUUCUCUGACAACCCUUCAUCUAGCAUAGUCUGCAACUCCUCCCACACUGUUUGCCACAUCUUCUGAAGCUUACCACUGAGAAAUCAGCAACUGGAUUAAAAACACAUUUGAUCAGAGAAUGCUACCA
Long non-coding RNA from Mauremys reevesii (Reeves's turtle), 252 nucleotides. RefSeq lists it as uncharacterized. NCBI's taxonomy places the organism in Eukaryota, Metazoa, Chordata, Testudines, Geoemydidae. The record is from RefSeq and is a predicted model, not a curated record. The transcript has 3 exons.